Brassica napus (rape) is the source of this 6593-nucleotide long non-coding RNA. RefSeq lists it as uncharacterized. The record is from RefSeq and is a predicted model, not a curated record. Lineage: Eukaryota; Viridiplantae; Streptophyta; Magnoliopsida; Brassicales; Brassicaceae. The transcript has 2 exons.
AUUUUCCUCCUUGUGGUCUAUUUUUGUGACCAAAACUUGAAAAUAGUCUAUUUAUGAGAAUUGCCCUUAAUAUAAGUCAUGUCCAAAUAAAUAUAUAUACAUUAACAUAUAAUAUAUAUAUGAUAACACAAACCUUAUCAAGAGCUACUCCAAUACUUUGUUGGAAGAUGUACGAAUCCAGAGGAACAAGAUAUCAAAGCUAUGAUUGUGAUGCUCCCGAAAAUAUGGAAGAAGGAGGACCGAGUGGUUGGUGCGGACCUAGAACUUGGCAAAAUUUCAGUUUGAUUUUGAGAGUGAAGAGGACAUCAAGGCGAUUUUGAAGAUGCAGCCUUUCCACUUUGAUUAUUGGAUGCUGUCUCUGGUUCGAUGGCAGCCAAGGAAGAUAAAAAAACUACCCGUCGGAAAUUACCUUUUGGGUGCGAGUAUUGGAUGUCCCUUUGGAGUUUUGAGAAGCUCCCACGUUCGAGAGUAUCGAAGAUGCUAUUGGGAAAACAGUCGAGGUGGACUUGGAUUACAGUAGGGUAAAGGUAGUGGUGGAUGAUUUUAAGGAACUUUGUUUUGAUACCACCACUGACUUCAAGGGAGUUGAAUUCCAAAAAGGAGAAGAGGCUCCAGUCUCACUGAGAAAAGAGAAGUUAUUCGGUUUUUGCCAAACUUGUUUCAGUCUCUCCCAUGCUUCUGAGAAGUGUCCCUUGAAUAAGAAAAGUCCAGAGAAGAAGAAUGACAAUAGAGUUGAAACCGUUGGGAGGCUUUAGGACCAUGCUAGGAGUUAUAAAGGAGUAGUCAUAAACGGUACUAUGGUUCAGUAAGAUAAGGAAAAAGAAAAGCGGGAGUAUUAUGGGAAGGGCAAGGGGAAUAUGAGUGAGGAACCUGAAGCUAAGUGGUUAAGGUGGCCAAGAAAGAGAGAGAGAACAAACGUUCUUACAUAGUGCAAAGUAACUACCGUGGUGAUGAAGAAGGUUCUCGCCAUAGGAAUGCUCGGUGGGAACAGACAUGAGCUUACUGAUGUGCCCUUGGUAGCACACCGGGCAAAACAGACAUGCAUGGCUUGAUCAUGGGAAGCAGUAAAUAUAUAUGUUCAUUGUUUGAUUCAUAUCUUCGAAACCACGAGGCUUCUACGCAUGAAAUCACUUGUAGAAUGUUCUCAACUCAAUUACGGAUCUCCUCGAACAAGAAUCAGAUCAAACAGAGUUCAUAUGUGACAGUUAUGCCAUUUACAAAUCAGGUGAUCUUCAGUUCUCGCGAAUUCAGACCACCCGAGAAGCUGGAAAUGACUAACCUUCUUUCUGUUGAACCAACGAACAAUUCAAUCAUGCCAAAGGUGAUUAUUCAUUUUCUAAAUGUUCAAGAAAGUCUUGUGCUUGAUGGUUUACAAAAAAAAAAUCAAAAACAGACUUGGUUGGGCCAAAUGGAGAAACCGAUAAAAAUUGGCUAAGGAAAAAAGAUGGAUUUCGACCAGGCCAUAAAGAGACAUGUCUUGGCACAUAUCAGGAGCAUAUUCUUCACUUUUCAAAGUCCUGGUCGUGGCUAUAUCAAGAGGCAGUCCAAGUUUCAGCCAAAGACUUUAUUUAGUCAAGUCUUUGUUUCUAUUUUCAAUGCCUUGUUUUUAGCACAUUCUUUUUUGGAUUUCUACAACUUGUAACCCUAUAAAUAGGGCCUAUGAGCCACGAAAUAAAACAUUUUUUUCCCUUUUAUUUGAGUUUAUCUCUUUGUUCUUUGUAGAACAUGUUUUUUGGUGAGGUUAUCGCCGAGCAAAUCUCUAUUUCGUUGGACAUGUGCGUCAUAUCAGACAACGUUUAGAAAUCCUUCUUUUGGUGGACUUGUGAGUCAUAUCAAGCACCAACUGAAAUCUGGUAGUAUCAUUGGGUCAUCCGCAACCCAUUGUGUCACCGUUCAAUCCAUCAGUUCUCCCUUUUGACGAGUUCAUAUCCCUUAAGUUCGAUUGAGAGAUACUUCCCUAUUUAGGGUGUAUCAAGUGGUAUCAGAGCUACUCAACCGGUACUAUCUAUCCAUCUUCUCAUAUUUCAUUUUCUAAACACUUCUUCUUCUUUCUAUCUUAAAUCCGGGCCACUAUCUUACCUAUCGCCAUUCUUCUAUUAAAAAAAAAAGAAAAGAAAAGAAAAAGAUCUAUCAAAAAAAAAAAAACAAAAGUUUGAUUUGUUGGCUAGGUGGUGGAAGAGAAAUCCUGCUGGCUGAGGAGAAAUCCAGCCUUGGAGUGGUUAAUACGGAUUUCACAAAUCAGUUCUCUUAUCUUUCUAUCUUGUGUUCAUCCCUUGUUGCUUGGAGAUUCCAUUGGGUUACUUGAUUUGUUCUCUUAGAACUUUGAGAGGAAACUCUUGUGUGACCACUAAAAUCCGAGAGAAACACGUGUGUGGGUUAAGAUGUUUGAAGCUGACCAAAGAGGGCUUUUAAGUCAGUUUGAAGUCCGAGAGUUUUGUGACAACCUUGUGGAGGGUGAGGUGAAAGCCCUCAAGGACGUCAGUAAGAUCCAAAAGAAGAGCACAACCACACAUGCACCUGUAGCUAAGCCAUCCUUAUUCAUCAAUGAAAAGCCCAAAGGUAAAUCUAAAAACAACCUUGAAGAUCUAAAAGAUUUUUCAGAUUCUAUACCAAUUUUUGAUGAGUAUGAUGAAGAGUUGAUUGAAAGUUUAUGAUUUGUGAGGAUAAUUGUGAUCUUCCUUUUCCAGAACCUGAUUUUAUGUUUGAUAAAGAACAGACUAUUGCAGAACUAACCUUUUUGCAACCGGAGCAUCCGAGUAGUCUUGUUCUAUUUUCACAGCAUUUUGAGGAAAAGCCAUUCGACUACCCACAUCAAAGACCGCUUCUUGAUACUAGGAGAGCCUUGGACGAUGGCCUAGGUCCCAUCUUUGAUGAGGAAGACGAACUUAGUCCUACCUUUUAUGAGAAAGCACCAAGCAUGACAUCCAUCAACAUGGAGAAUCAUCUUUGCUUGGAUCCAGGCACAAUCCUACGCCUUUGACCACAUACAUUCAAGAGCAUGGUGAGAAACUUGAUUUGAUUAAUUUUCUGUCUGAAAUGUGUUUUAAGAUCAGUUCUCAAGAUGUGAAACGUUUUGGUUUUGACAAGGUUAAAGAAUUUCGUGUUUCAGAUUCUGUUUUUGAAAACAUGUUUAAUUAAAACAAGGUGAGAAACUUGAUUUAAUUAUUUUAAAGUGUUUGAACCUGAACUUCUUUAUCAAAAACGUUUUCAUCAUGACAAUGACAUCAAUUCUGGAUUUGUUUUGAGUUUUGAUCAGCUCUUGAAACAUAGCAAAGGUUUUGGUCAUUUUGAAGAGUCGCUUGAUUUGCAACAGCCUGAUUUUUGUGCUAGAAAUUCGUUUGAUUCAUUUGUCUUCAAAGAAAAUAGUUUUAAUCUGAGUUUUUAUAGAUAUGUACUGAUCACUGGUAACUUGUUUGCAUCCACUUGUGCCUUGGAAGAAUUUAUGGUUAAGACUUUGCUGGAACAGAAAUCACUUAGAGCUAAAACCGAUUUUUGUUGUGAUUCUGUUUUGAAAUCUGAUAUUGAACUUUUGUAUUCUAAUUCUGAUCAUGUUAGGCACGUUUUGAAAAUGUCCCAUAUGAUAUUUCAUGCCUUGAAAGCAUUAUGAUUUACAACACAUUCUUUGAUAAAAGUGCUGAUCCAUGUAUAAGUAAUUCUCGGUUUGAAAUUGAUCUUUUGUGUUCUAAAUCUGAGAAACUUGCGCAUGUUUUGAAUUUGUUCUUUAGUAACUGUGCUAUCACGUGCCCUGACACCAUUCUGGUGUACAACACUUUCUUUGAUAGGCUUCAUGAUGAUCUGAAACGGGUGCUACAUGUUCUAGGGAAAGAAACUUUGGUUUCUGAUCUGAACAAGUACUUGUCUUGCACAUAUGAUCCUGGUUUUUAAUAUUUGUUUUGAGUGUCCAGGAUAAACAGGAUCAGUCUCCAAGAGGUGUCAGGAACAAAAUCAGAGAUCGUGCUUGUAAGUUUGAGAUUUGGAGAUGGAAGUACCUGAGGAAAACAACUUCAAAACUCAAAGGAAGUUUCUUUCCAAAACUUUUCUUCACUAUAUUUUACAUGUUCUUUAGAUUCUUUUUUUCCUGAUUCAUUUCCUUUUUAUACAGGUAAAAUUAAUUUGAGGCCAAAUCCUUUUCAAAAGGGAGGGAAUGAUGCGCCCUUUGGUAGCGCACCGGGCAAAACAGACAUGCAUAGCUUGAUCAUGGGAAGCAGUAAAGAUAUAUGUUCAUUGUUUGACUCAUAUAUUCUAAACCACGAGGAUUCUACGCAUAAAAUCACUUGGAGAAUGUUCUCAACUCAAUUACGGAGCUCCUCGAACAAGAAUCAUAUCAAACGGAGUUCAUAUGUGACAGUUAUGCCAUUUACAAAUCAGGUGAUCUUCAGUUCUCGCGAAUUAAGACCACCCGAGAAGCUGGAAAUGGCUAAGCUUCUUUCUGAUGAACUAACGACCAAUUAAAUCAUGCCAAAGGUGAUUAUUCAUUUUCUAAAUGUCCAAGAAAGUCUUGGGCUUGAUGGAUUACAAAAAAGAAUCAAAAACAGAUUUGUUUGGGCCAAAUGGAGAAACCGAUAAAAAUUGGCUAAGGAAAAAAGAUGUAUUUCGACCAGGCCUUAAAGAGACAUGUCUUGGCCCAUAUCAGGAGCAUAUUCUUCACUUUUCAAAGUCCUGAUCGUAGCUAUAUCAAGAGGCAAUACAAGUUUCAGUCAAAGGUUUUAUUUAGUAAAGUCUUUGUUUCUAUUUUCAAUGCCUUGUUUUUAGCACAUUUUUGUUUGGAUUUCUACAACUUGUAAUCCUAUAAAUAGGGCCUAUGAGCCACGAAAUAAAGCAUUCCGUUUUCCCUUUUAUUUGAGUUUGUCUCUUUGUUCUUUGUAGAACAUUUUUCGUUUCUUGGUGAGGUUAUCUCCGAGUAAACAAAUUUCUAUUUCGUUGGACUUGUGCGUCAUAUCAGACAACAUUUAGAAAUCAUUCUUUUUGUGGACUUGUGAGUCAUAUCAAGCACCAACUGAAGUCUGGUAGUAUCAUUGGGCCAUCUGUAACCCAUUGUGUCACCGUUCAAUCCAUCAGUUCUCACUUUUGGCGAGUUCAUAUCCGUUUAGUUCGAUUGAGUGAUCCUUUCCUAAUUUAGGGUGUAUCACUUGCCCUCAAAAGAUCGGGUUAGGUACUCUCGUGGUCUAAGAAGGGAAAGAAGUCCACGGCAUGAAGCUAGAGAGGAAGAAAUGAAGCUGCCUCCGACACUCCCGCCGCCAGCGUUUCAAGCAGCACUGAUUGAAACUCAGGCUGAGCCAACAGAGGUAAACUCGGAAACUCUAGGCGAGAAAAGUGAAGUGGUAAAAGAUACAAUAGAGGAACAAAAUAUUAUGUUAAGUGAUGAUGGGAUGGAUUUGGAUGUGGUUCCUAAUAAUAAGCUUUCGGUUGAGAAUGAUGAGGAAUUUGGGGAGGACUUUCAGAAUCUGUCGGCUGAUGAGGAAGAAGUUAGUCUACAGAAAGAUGGGGUUGCUAGCUUGGAUGAGGGAUAACAGAGGGAUGAAGCAGGGGAGAAGAAUCGAUCAAGAAGAGGCUGUACAAACCACCGAUCAACACUGCAGGCUCCACUAAGAUGCGUAUGUACCAGGCACUCGCUUCUCCCGUAAGCGCACUCUAGCAAAAACAGGCAAUUGUCAAGGAGAUGGUUCAAAGCAGAUGGAGGAUAAGGUCACAUCAAACCCUAAACCUGGUCUCCCAAAACCUUAAUCUAUCAUAUGGAUCAAGUUUUCUCAGCUGAUCGGAUUUAUGCAAGCAAUUUCUGGUUUAUGGAUUCCGGGUUUUAGUUGCUUUAAUAAGCUCAUGAGCAUUUAUUUCUGUUUUAUCUUUGAGGUUUCUUGUUUUUUGCUUACUUAUUAAUGCUUUGUUUGAUGGUACGAUCUUUCCAUAAGAUCAUGCAAUGGAAUAAAAUUUAUUAUUGGACUUAUUGGUUCUUUGAAUGCAGGCAGGAUUGAUAAAGGAACUUGGUUUUGUUUCUCACGCUUCGAAAUUGGUAUUUUCUGGUUUUGGUGAUAACAUUGGAAACGUUACUGUAUUGGGUCUCACUAAACCGAAUACAGUCAAGUUAUUACUGCAGCAUGGAUAUUAUGGACAGGUUAAUUGGCUUCAAUCAUCAACAAACACAAGGUUGGGAUGAUAAGCGAUACCCUGGUAAUGAAUGGAGCAUUGCGGUCUCAACUGCUUUUUUUAGAAAGAACUUAUGGAUCUCAUUAGUUGCACUUGAUUGCUCUAUUCGUAAUAUCAGUACAGACAGACACUAUGUCGAUUAUAGUUUGGAAAUUUUUUGGUUAAUCUUAAUAAACCACAUUACUGUCGCUUUAAUUAUUUUGUAUCUCGCUUCAUGGGAACCAAAAGAUAUAGUAGAAUAAUAAUUAAAUGCAAGAAGGAAUAUGAUUCCUACUUGAGUUAUUCUUGGGUUAACCCUACCAGAGGUUUUACCGAUCAAUAGAAUUGUUUUAUUUCAUAUUUGAUAUCUUUUAAAAAAACAAAAUAUUGUCAAAUUAUAUUAUGUUUUUAAAAUUAAAAAAUAAAAAGAAAUAAAUAAAAAAUAGUAGUAAUUACAAAAAAAAAAAAUUUAA